CGGUUGAUCCUGCCGGACCCGACUGCUAUUUGGGUGAGGAUAAACCAUGCGAGUUGAAUGGGAUACCUAAAUUUCCCAUGGCAAACUGCUCAGUAACACAUGAUCAACUUACCCUAUAGAGAAAAAUAACCUCAGGAAACUGAGGAUAAUGUUUCAUAGUUGAAUAGGCUUGGAAAAGUUAUUCAACAAAAGGGAUAAAGACAUGGUCUUUAUCCGCUAUAGGAUAGGAUCGUGUUCGAUUAUGGUUGUUGGUGAGGUAACGGCUCACCAAGCCGAUAAUCGAUAGGGGCCGUGAGAGCGGGAGCCCCGAGAUGGGUACUGAGACAACGACCCAGGCCUUACGAGGCGCAGCAGGCGCGAAACCUCCGCAAUACACGAAAGUGUGACGGGGUUACCCAAAGUGCUCUUUCUAGAGCUGUGGUAGGUGAGUAAUGUCCCCUACUAGAAAGGAGAGGGCAAGGCUGGUGCCAGCCGCCGCGGUAAAACCAGCUCUUCAAGUGGUCGGGAUAAUUAUUGGGCUUAAAGUGUCCGUAGCCGGUUUAGUAAGUUCCUGGUAAAAUCGAGUAGCUUAACUAUUCGUAUGCUAGGAAUACUACUAUACUAGAGGGCGGGAGAGGUCUGAGGUACUACAGGGGUAGGGGUGAAAUCUUAUAAUCCUUGUAGGACCACCAGUGGCGAAGGCGUCAGACUGGAACGCGCCUGACGGUGAGGGACGAAAGCCAGGGGAGCGAACCGGAUUAGAUACCCGGGUAGUCCUGGCUGUAAACGAUGCAUACUAGGUGAUGGCACGGCCAUGAGCCGUGUCAGUGCCGCAGGGAAACCGUUAAGUGUGCCGCCUGGGAAGUACGGUCGCAAGGCUAAAACUUAAAGGAAUUGGCGGGGGAGCAC
RNAcentral lists this ribosomal RNA (888 nucleotides) under uncultured archaeon. Its description in RNAcentral is "bacterial SSU rRNA". It matches the Rfam family "Archaeal small subunit ribosomal RNA", at positions 5 to 879 of the family's 1478-position model. The record is from RNAcentral.